CUCUGAACUUUUCUGCCUCCGGACUUCCCCAUAUUCCUCCUCUAGUCUUCACAACAAGUUUUCUUAUUCCCCUCUUGUUUACCUUCAAAUACUGAAGGAUUCGGAGGAGGUGGACCUUCCGUGGGGUCGGAGGUCAAAGGUCGAUUAUUCAAGUUUUCCGGCAAUGCUCGGUGGCUGGCGGUGGGGUCGGCCGACCCCACCUGGGUCCGUCAGUGAUUAUAGUCCGAGUCGAAUGGAGAGUCAAGCCGCACCGAGAAGCCUCUCGCUAAACCUCCGCCGCCGUUCCUCUCAACAGCCACCGCGUCUUCAGUCCAAACGAUUGAUGGGGAAAUAGAUAAACAAAUUUCUGUUUGGAGAAAGCACAGAGCAGUGUUGUGCCACUUUUUCUUAUUCUAGCCUUUAUGCGCAAGGUCAAAUGAGCUCUUUGUGCUAAGCCAGGCCACUUAUCACAUUCACAACGAGUUUAUGAGGCCAGAAUCGGUCCACCCACCCAGAGCUCAAAUGCAUUUCUACUUCUCCCCCCCCCCCCGCUUAGUCAGGAGGUGGAUUUUCCAUGAUAUUUGCAUCUCUACUUCUGACCAAAUAAGUGGUAGCAUGUGGUAGCAUUUACUCAUCUGGCCUUGUUAGCAUUGGAAUUGGUGCUAUGGCCCAGACACUGGAAAUUGGCUCUGACGAUAUAGAACCUGUUGGAUCCCAGAUUCCCAUACAAGUUCCUUCAUCUCACAUUUCAAUUGGUGAUGGUCCACAAACUCCGAAAAUGACAUCAUUCCUUCAGUCUCUCAUGCUUUGCCCAGCUACUGAUGGAACCUUCCAGUUACGCAAAAGAACCUGGAAAUGCUGCACAUCCUACUAAUGCAGCUCAGUCUUCCGAGCAUCCUGGGACAAAAGCCACUUAUAACCUUUGGUGAUGCAUUAGAUAUGUACCAUACCAUCUCAGAGAAGGAGUUGAGGAGGAGCUAACUUCUAAAGGGGUUAUUAGUGUAGACUUCAUUUUUCUCAUGGGUUGAUCUGCAAACUUAGUUGUUGCUUACUAACUUCUGGAGUCCUAGGUUUCCCAUGCUUCAAAUAAGUGAUAACAGUGUUCUUUGUUGUCCGAUUUCUUGAGCUAAGGAGAGAGAACAAUUCCGGUUUUGAAAAAUUAAUUGAAAAAGUCAUAGGGCCGAUCGACUGAAUGAGAGCUUUAUGAGUUGCAAUCUUGUUGAUAUUGGUGCAUAAAAAUGAUUUAGGCAAUAGGAAUAAAAGCCUCAUAUCCAAAUUAUCACAUGCCU
Molecule: long non-coding RNA, 1268 nt
Organism: Salvia splendens (bonfire salvia)
Lineage: Eukaryota; Viridiplantae; Streptophyta; Magnoliopsida; Lamiales; Lamiaceae
Exons: 6
Source: RefSeq, a predicted model, not a curated record